RNAcentral lists this ribosomal RNA (253 nucleotides) under uncultured bacterium. RNAcentral's name for it is "partial 16S ribosomal RNA". It matches the Rfam family "Bacterial small subunit ribosomal RNA", at positions 524 to 776 of the family's 1533-position model. The record is from RNAcentral.
UACGUAGGCAGCGAGCGUUGUUCGGAGUUAUUGGGCGUAAAGGGUGCGUAGGCGGUUCCGCAAGUCCUGUGUGAAAUCUUCGGGCUCAACUCGAAGUCUGCACGGGAAACUGCGGGGCUUGAGUGUGGGAGAGGUGAGUGGAAUUCCCGGUGUAGCGGUGAAAUGCGUAGAUAUCGGGAAGAACACCUAUGGCGAAGGCAGCUCUCUGGGACGGUACUGACGCUGAGACGCGAAAGCGUGGGGAGCGAACAGG